CCUACGGGAGGCAGCAGUAGGGAAUAUUGCUCAAUGGGGGAAACCCUGAAGCAGCAACGCCGCGUGAAGGAUGAAGGUGUUAGGAUUGUAAACUCCUUUUUUUAGAGAAGUAAAAGGCGGUAUCUAUCGCAUAAGCCACGGCUAACUCCGUGCAAGCAGCCGCGGUAAUACGGAGGGUGCAAGCGUUACUCGGAAUCACUGGGCGUAAAGCGCGCGUAGACGGGAUAGCAAGUCAGAUGUGAAAUCCUUGGGGUUAACCAUAGAACUGCAUUUGAAACUGUUAUUCUAGAUGAUGGUAGAGGUAGGUGGAAUUCUUGGUGUAGGGGUAAAAUCCGUAGAGAUCAAGAGGAAUACUCAGUGCGAAGGCGACCUGCUAGAACAUAACUGACGCUGAUGCGCGAAAGCGUGGGGAGCAAACAGGAUUAGAUACCCCAGUAGUC
Molecule: ribosomal RNA, 440 nt
Filed under: uncultured bacterium
Lineage: Bacteria
Description: partial 16S ribosomal RNA
Rfam family: Bacterial small subunit ribosomal RNA
Source: RNAcentral